This 639-nucleotide ribosomal RNA is filed under the name Antrodia heteromorpha. RNAcentral's name for it is "eukaryotic LSU rRNA". The stretch from base 240 to 393 matches the Rfam family "5.8S ribosomal RNA". Lineage: Eukaryota; Fungi; Basidiomycota; Agaricomycetes; Polyporales; Fomitopsidaceae. The record is from RNAcentral.
UCGUAACAAGGUUUCCGUAGGUGAACCUGCGGAAGGAUCAUUAUUGAAUUUUGAAUGGGGUUGUAGCUGGCCUUUCAAAGGGCAUGUGCACGCCUCGCUUCAAUCCACUUACCCCUGUGAACACUCUGUAGGUCGGCUCAAGGGACAAAUYCUUAACGGGGUUUGUUUUGGGCCUUCCUAUGUUUUAUUACAAACGUUUAAAGUCUAAAGAAUGUACUCGCGUCUAACGCAUUAUAUACAACUUUCAGCAACGGAUCUCUUGGCUCUCGCAUCGAUGAAGAACGCAGCGAAAUGCGAUAAGUAAUGUGAAUUGCAGAAUUCAGUGAAUCAUCGAAUCUUUGAACGCACCUUGCGCUCCUUGGUAUUCCGAGGAGCAUGCCUGUUUGAGUGUCAUGGAAUUAUCAACUUGUUUAUCUUUGUAUGAACGCAGUUGGAUUUGGAGGCCAUUGCCGGAUUGUAAUGACUCGGCUCCUCUUGAAUGCAUUAGCUCGAACCUUUGCGGAUCAGCUUUUGGUGUGAUAAUUGUCUACGCCGCUAACUGAGACRCAUGAAUGGGAUYGGCUUACAGUCGUCCUUGAACGGACAAUUUAUUAUGACUUCUGACCUCAAAUCAGGUAGGAUUACCCGCUGAACUUAAGC